Non-coding RNA from Cricetulus griseus (Chinese hamster), 604 nucleotides. Lineage: Eukaryota; Metazoa; Chordata; Mammalia; Rodentia; Cricetidae. The record is from RefSeq and is a predicted model, not a curated record.
CAGGAAGUCAUUCCUUUUCUCUUGCUCUCUUCCUCCUGCUCUCUGCUCUGGAGUCGCCAUGUGACCACCAGGAAGACAGGACGCAUUCUGCCUGUGUCCACUAUAAGUGAACUACUUUCUUCAACUGCUGAUCCUGUCUGCAGAGUCUGAGAUUCCUCCAAAGCAACUCAAUGUGCUUGAGAUUUUUCCUUCCUUUUAAUUUUUUAACUGGCAGAAGAAUUGAACUUGAUCAAGACUCCUAGACUGUAUCACUUUGGGAAUUUGUCCAGGAUUUCUUCUGAGGAACACUGACUCAUCAAGUUAACUUCCAGCUGAGUUAACAGAUGGUGUGCUGGCAACGCUUUCAAUCACUCCUUACCUGUGUUAAAGGGUUCAAAAGGCAGCUUCUGGAAGGACCCCAGAAAAUGGUGCAUGGCAGUAUAUUCAUAGUGGCAGGAGCUACAAUCAAGAAAAACCAAUCAUUAAAAAUAAAGUUUUCCAUUCUAUUUAGUAACAGAAUUGGCUUAUUUGACCUACUUAUUUUUCCUUGAAGAAAUGUUGACUGUUCUGACAUUUGAUACUUACAGUGACUCCACAAAGGCACACUGUUCACAUGAUGUAGAAA